RNAcentral lists this ribosomal RNA (253 nucleotides) under uncultured bacterium. RNAcentral describes it as "partial 16S ribosomal RNA". It matches the Rfam family "Bacterial small subunit ribosomal RNA", at positions 524 to 776 of the family's 1533-position model. The record is from RNAcentral.
UACGUAGGGGGCUAGCGUUGUCCGGAAUCAUUGGGCGGAAAGCGCGUGUAGGCGGUCCGGUAAGUCCGCUGUGAAAGUCGAGGGCUCAACCCUCGAAUGCCGGUGGAUACUGUCGGGCUAGAGUGCGGAAGAGGCGAGUGGAAUUCCUGGUGUAGCGGUGAAAUGCGCAGAUAUCAGGAGGAACACCUAUUGCGAAGGCAGCUCGCUGGGACGUUACUGACGCUGAGACGCGAAAGCGUGGGGAGCAAACAGG